AAGCCGUAACAAGAUUUUUCCGUAGGUGAACCUGCGGAAGGAUCAUUACCAAAUCCAAAUUCAACCUUUUGUGAACCUGCCUUGUAUUGUCUUUUGGGAGGUUAGUGAGUGAGUUUACUCGCUGCUCUCAAACAUGCGUUAACUUGUGUGAUUGGGAGCCUCCCAUUAGGUGCGUGUGUGUUGCUGCUGCUUUGCAAACAACAGCACAAAAAUAAACCAUAAUUCAAUUUUUUUCAUUUGAUUUUUUUAUUCAAAAAACAAAAUGACAACUUUUAACGGUGGAUCUCUUGCCUGAU
This 296-nucleotide unclassified non-coding RNA is filed under the name fungal sp. RNAcentral describes it as "partial internal transcribed spacer region". The record is from RNAcentral. Lineage: Eukaryota; Fungi.